UACGAGGGGUGCAAGCGUUGCUCGGAAUUAUUGGGCGUAAAGGGUAGGUAGGUGGUCUCAUUUGUCUGGGGUGAAAGCCUUGAGCUUAACUCAAGAAGUGCCCCAGAAACGGUGAGACUGGAGUCCUGGAGAGGGUCGUGGAAUUCCCGGUGUAGUGGUGGAAUGCGUAGAUAUCGGGAGGAACACCAGUGGCGAAGGCGGUUGCCUGGGGCUUUGCUGACGCUGAUGCGCGAAAGCGUGGGGAGCGAUCCGG
RNAcentral lists this ribosomal RNA (253 nucleotides) under uncultured bacterium. RNAcentral describes it as "partial 16S ribosomal RNA". It matches the Rfam family "Bacterial small subunit ribosomal RNA", at positions 524 to 776 of the family's 1533-position model. The record is from RNAcentral.